Molecule: ribosomal RNA, 429 nt
Filed under: Gemmatimonadota bacterium
Lineage: Bacteria; Pseudomonadati; Gemmatimonadota
Description: Gemmatimonadetes bacterium partial 16S ribosomal RNA
Rfam family: Bacterial small subunit ribosomal RNA
Source: RNAcentral
UAGGGAAUCUUCGGCAAUGGACGAAAGUCUGACCGAGCAACGCCGCGUGAGUGAAGAAGGUUUUCGGAUCGUAAAACUCUGUUGUUAGAGAAGAACAAGGACGUUAGUAACUGAACGUCCCCUGACGGUAUCUAACCAGAAAGCCACGGCUAACUACGUGCCAGCAGCCGCGGUAAUACGUAGGUGGCAAGCGUUGUCCGGAUUCAUUGGGCGUAAAGCGAGCGCAGGCGGUUUCUUAAGUCUGAUGUGAAAGCCCCCGGCUCAACCGGGGAGGGUCAUUGGAAACUGGGAGACUUGAGUGCAGAAGAGGAGGGUGGAAUUCCAUGUGUAGCGGUGAAAUGCGUAGAUAUAUGGAGGAACACCAGUGGCGAAGGCGGCUCUCUGGUCUGUAACUGACGCUGAGGCUCGAAAGCGUAGGGAGCAAACAGG